Molecule: long non-coding RNA, 1025 nt
Filed under: Olea europaea (common olive)
Lineage: Eukaryota; Viridiplantae; Streptophyta; Magnoliopsida; Lamiales; Oleaceae
Description: long non-coding RNA (OEUR_LNC014609)
Source: RNAcentral
CCCACUAUUAUUCAGCACCAUUGGUUUCUAUACCCUUAUUGUUGGAAAUCCUUUUUCCCUACAGAAAUAUUGAGUAUUUAAGAGCAUUGUCUAUCAAGAUUUACCUCAUUUACAUCCAAUUCUUUAAGGUCAAAAUUCCAUUUCAACCUCUUCGGAUCAUAUCUAUCAGGAAUCAGUAUAGACACUUGUGUGAAGCAAAACCUUUGCAUCACCCUUAUAAAAGUCAACAUAAAACGAAUCCAUUAAUAUAUCUUCCUAAAAAGAAACACAAUGAGCACACAGUCAGAGUUUUGGGUUCUGUUCUCAGGCAUAAGAAUGCAAGAAGACAACGGUAAGAAUUAGUUUUUACUAUAUAUUCUCAAUAAAUCAAAAUCAAUCAGUACCGAAGCAUGCAAAGUUUCAAAAGAUUUUCUGAUACAUAUAUCUCAUAGAUGAAAUGAUAUCAUAUAUUACAACUGCUAUUAGCCUGUGGAACAAUUGAACGGCAGAGUACCAUAUAUAAACCUUCUCAACAUUAUAGGGUCAAGCCAGUUCAGAAAAUCAAGAACACUGAAAUAUUAAAUUUAGCAGAAAUUCCUUUCCUUAAUAAAAUUAAACAGUAAAGAGUACCUUAUAUACACUUCCUCGGUUUACCUCCAAUUUUCUUAAUACAAAAACCCUGAUUAAGGUAUUAACAACUUUAAAAUUCUAUAUUUUAAGCAAUCAAUUACAGAUAUUUAUCUGAACCAAUUGCUCUUAACAAAUUUUUAUCUCAAUAAUACUUGAAAAAGAUUAAGUUUUAAAUUUGCUAAAAUAUGAAAAGAAAAGGGGGCAAUCAAAGAAUUAAGAAAUUUUCUUCUGUUUUUUCAGUACAUCUUAUCAAAUUAAACAAUCAAAUAGGAAAAAUUACCAUGGGGAAUACGUGGGUGGCAGUUGCAGAUAAAUCUUCAGGAGAAGCUAAAUGGGCUGCAAUCAUAUUCACUCUUCUUCUCACAGUCAGACCCUCCAUUUCUCUACUUUCUUUAAACACAGAGCAAACUACUNNN